RNAcentral lists this ribosomal RNA (497 nucleotides) under uncultured bacterium. RNAcentral describes it as "partial 16S ribosomal RNA". It matches the Rfam family "Bacterial small subunit ribosomal RNA", at positions 28 to 507 of the family's 1533-position model. The record is from RNAcentral.
GAUGAACGCUGGCGGCGUGCCUAAUACAUGCAAGUCGAGCGAACAGACGAGAAGCUUGCUUCUCUGAUGUUAGCGGCGGACGGGUGAGUAACACGUGGAUAACCUACCUAUAAGACUGGGAUAACUUCGGGAAACCGGAGCUAAUACCGGAUGAUAUUUUGAACCGCAUGGUUCAAAAGUGAAAGACGGUCUUGCUGUCACUUAUAGAUGGAUCCGCGCUGCAUUAGCUAGUUGGUAAGGUAACGGCUUGCCAAGGCAACGAUGCAUAGCCGACCUGAGAGGGUGAUCGGCCACACUGGAACUGAGACACGGUCCAGACUCCUACGGGAGGCAGCAGUAGGGAAUCUUCCGCAAUGGGCGAAAGCCUGACGGAGCAACGCCGCGUGAGUGAUGAAGGUAUUCGGAUCGUAAAACUCUGUUAUUAGGGAAGAACAUAUGUGUAAGUAACUGUGCACAUCUUGACGGUACCUAAUCAGAAAGCCACGGCUAACUACGUG